RNAcentral lists this ribosomal RNA (891 nucleotides) under Botryotrichum murorum. Its description in RNAcentral is "LSU rRNA". It matches the Rfam family "Eukaryotic large subunit ribosomal RNA", at positions 38 to 962 of the family's 3401-position model. Lineage: Eukaryota; Fungi; Ascomycota; Sordariomycetes; Sordariales; Chaetomiaceae. The record is from RNAcentral.
GCAUAUCAAUAAGCGGAGGAAAAGAAACCAACAGGGAUUGCCCCAGUAACGGCGAGUGAAGCGGCAACAGCUCAAAUUUGAAAUCUGGCUUCGGCCCGAGUUGUAAUUUGCAGAGGAAGCUUUAGGCGCGGCACCAUCUGAGUCCCCUGGAACGGGGCGCCACAGAGGGUGAGAGCCCCGUAUAGAUGGACGCCUAGCCUGUGUAAAGCUCCUUCGACGAGUCGAGUAGUUUGGGAAUGCUGCUCUAAAUGGGAGGUAAAUUUCUUCUAAAGCUAAAUACCGGCCAGAGACCGAUAGCGCACAAGUAGAGUGAUCGAAAGAUGAAAAGCACUUUGAAAAGAGGGUUAAAUAGCACGUGAAAUUGUUGAAAGGGAAGCGCUUGUGACCAGACUUGCGCCGGGCGGAUCAUCCGGUGUUCUCACCGGUGCACUCCGCCCGGCUCAGGCCAGCAUCGGUUCUCGUGGGGGGACAAAGGUCCCGGGAACGUAGCUCCUCCGGGAGUGUUAUAGCCCGGGGCGUAAUGCCCUCGCGGGGACCGAGGACCGCGCUUCGGCAAGGAUGCUGGCGUAAUGGUCAUCAGCGACCCGUCUUGAAACACGGACCAAGGAGUCAAGGUUUUGCGCGAGUGUUUGGGUGUAAAACCCGCACGCGUAAUGAAAGUGAACGUAGGUGAGAGCUUCGGCGCAUCAUCGACCGAUCCUGAUGUUUUCGGAUGGAUUUGAGUAGGAGCGUUAAGCCUUGGACCCGAAAGAUGGUGAACUAUGCUUGGAUAGGGUGAAGCCAGAGGAAACUCUGGUGGAGGCUCGCAGCGGUUCUGACGUGCAAAUCGAUCGUCAAAUCUGAGCAUGGGGGCGAAAGACUAAUCGAACCAUCUAGUAGCUGGUUACCGCC